Molecule: long non-coding RNA, 254 nt
Filed under: Physcomitrium patens
Lineage: Eukaryota; Viridiplantae; Streptophyta; Bryopsida; Funariales; Funariaceae
Description: long non-coding RNA (PPAT_LNC012438)
Source: RNAcentral
UUUAGAGGAAGGUAAUCCGCAACCUCUAAAAAUACCUCAAUGCUUUCGAGAAGAGGAGUAAUCUGCACUCUAUCAAGAAGGCAAAGCUCUGAAAUCGAUGUUAACAGUCUUUUUUACUAGCUAUGCUAAACAAAAAGAAGAAAUUAAUAUUAGUCCAAGAGAGGGUAAUCCGCAACCCUUAGAACGCUCCAGUAUCUCCAAGGAAAGGGGUAGUCCACUCUCUGCCUCAAAGAACUAAGCUCUGAUAUUGUGAU